UGGAGGUGGGGGAAACUAAAAAGCGGGGUAACAACCUAGGAUUUGCACGUGGAACCUGAGUGGAGACGCUUCCCUAGACCUGGGGAGGAUUGAGGAUCCUGGCAGCCACACAGUUGCCAUUCCAGGCUUGUGUGGGAGAAGAUUGUUGUGCGCCUGUGUCUCUCCGCCUGAGCGGCUCCAGCCCCUAGUUUAAAAAGUGUCACCAUUUGUCAAGAAUUAAGCUUAUUACCUGGCCUACUCAUCUCACACAAUCAAGAUAAUGAUAUGUAAGACUGGUAACUCUGAGGGACUGUUCAAAUUUCAUAUUAGUAUUGCAGCAACUAUAUUUCCAUGGCUUGUAGGAGGGUAACAACUACUCUGGAAAAUAGAAAUA
Urocitellus parryii (Arctic ground squirrel) is the source of this 373-nucleotide long non-coding RNA. RefSeq lists it as uncharacterized. The record is from RefSeq and is a predicted model, not a curated record. NCBI's taxonomy places the organism in Eukaryota, Metazoa, Chordata, Mammalia, Rodentia, Sciuridae.